GAGUAACAUGUACGUAUCUGCCCUUUGGCCUGGAAUAACACGAGGAAACUUGUGCUAAUACCGGAUAAGUCUUUACAGAGAAAGCUUUAUGCACCAUUGGAUGAGCCUGCACUUGAUUAGUUUGUUGGUGGGGUAAUGGCCUACCAAGACUGUGAUCAAUAGCUGAUUUGAGAGGAUGAUCAGCCACAUUGGGACUGAGACACGGCCCAAACUCCUACGGGAGGCAGCAGUGGGGAAUCUUGCACAAUGGAGGAAACUCUGAUGCAGCGAUGCCGCGUGAGUGAAGAAGGCCUUUGGGUUGUAAAGCUCUUUCGUCGGGGAAGAAAAUGACUGUACCCGAAUAAGAAGGUCCGGCUAACUUCGUGCCAGCAGCC
Molecule: ribosomal RNA, 374 nt
Filed under: uncultured bacterium
Lineage: Bacteria
Description: bacterial SSU rRNA
Rfam family: Bacterial small subunit ribosomal RNA
Source: RNAcentral